RNAcentral lists this unclassified non-coding RNA (187 nucleotides) under uncultured Phaeosphaeriaceae. RNAcentral describes it as "sequence contains ITS1". The record is from RNAcentral. Lineage: Eukaryota; Fungi; Ascomycota; Dothideomycetes; Pleosporales; Phaeosphaeriaceae.
CACUCAGUAGAUUUCUACUGCUCAGGGAGAGCGGAAAGUUUCCAGCUUGCUGGUAUACAAGUACGCUCUCUGUCUGAUACCCUUGUCUUUUUGCGUACUCAAGUUUCCUCGGCGGGCUUGCCCGCCGGUUGGACAACCUUAUAACCUUUUUAAUUUUCAAUCAGCGUCUGAAUAAUUAUAAUAAUUA